AUUGAACGCUGGCGGCAUGCCUUACACAUGCAAGUCGAACGGUAACAGGUCUUCGGAUGCUGACGAGUGGCGAACGGGUGAGUAAUACAUCGGAACGUGCCUAGUAGUGGGGGAUAACUACUCGAAAGAGUGGCUAAUACCGCAUGAGAUCUACGGAUGAAAGCAGGGGAUCGCAAGACCUUGUGCUACUAGAGCGGCCGAUGGCAGAUUAGGUAGUUGGUGGGAUAAAAGCUUACCAAGCCGACGAUCUGUAGCUGGUCUGAGAGGACGAUCAGCCACGCUGGGACUGAGAAACGGCCCAGACUCCUACGGGAGGCAGCAGUGGGGAAUUUUGGACAAUGGGCGCAAGCCUGAACCAGCAAUGCCGCGUGCAGGAUGAAGGCCUUCGGGUUGUAAACUGCUUUUGUACGGAACGAAAAGCCCCGGGUUAAUACCCUGGGGUCAUGACGGUACCGUAAGAAUAAGCACCGGCUAACUACGUGCCAGCAGCCGCAGUAA
RNAcentral lists this ribosomal RNA (498 nucleotides) under uncultured bacterium. RNAcentral describes it as "partial 16S ribosomal RNA". It matches the Rfam family "Bacterial small subunit ribosomal RNA", at positions 30 to 523 of the family's 1533-position model. The record is from RNAcentral.